Molecule: non-coding RNA, 2442 nt
Organism: Chiloscyllium plagiosum (whitespotted bambooshark)
Lineage: Eukaryota; Metazoa; Chordata; Chondrichthyes; Orectolobiformes; Hemiscylliidae
Source: RefSeq, a predicted model, not a curated record
UGGACAGCAGAUUUAGAAUCUCCUAGUUUAGGGAUCUGAUUGUCUGCUAGCUGGGCCACAGUCAGUAUGUACUGUUAAUCUGGAACAAUCAGGAAAGCCCUGGCUGAUUGAUCUAAACAGGAGAUUCAGAGUCUUCUCAAUUUAGGGGACCGACUCUGUGCUAGCUGGGUCACAGUCAGUGUGUUACUGCUGCUGUUGAUUUCUGCUUUUUUUGUGGAGAAACCUGAUUCCUGGACUGGCUGAAUUAUUAGUGUUUUCACUUUUUGGUGUUUGGGCUGAGCCCCUGUGAGAAAAUGCACCUUUCCAGAUGAGCUAUUCCUAUGGGUAGGCCUGGCCCUUUGGUAGAUGAGGUCUCUGUAAAGAAUGAACACGUGUGUGCUGGGAGGUGAGCAUUUGCUGCGUCCUGGAGUGGGCCAAAAGAUCUCAGAGGGACUGAAUUGUUCUGGCAACAUAAGCUUUUACAAUGAUGGACAAUACGGCUGCAACAGUAGUGAAAAUACUGCUGAGGGAAUUAAUUCCAUGAUACAGACUCUCAGACUAUUAGCUCAGAUAAUGGACCGCACUUUGUGGCCAAAAUUAACCAGGGGAUUUGCAGGGAACUAGCGUUAAAACAACAAUUCCACCGUAACCACUACCCAAAGGUGGCUGGAGUGGUGGAACAGGCAAACGGCACCCUAAAAUACAAGUUGGCAAAGCUAAAACAGGAAUCAGGCCUAAGUUGGAUGAAUGGCCUCCCUCUCGCCCUGUUCCACAUGAGGGUUACUGUUCUAGCAAGACCAGCCUGUCUCUUGCUGAGGUUUACGGGAAGCCCAUGAGGACUUUAUGGGUACCUGGGAGACUCCAACAACCACCCCCACCCCCAGGUACCCAUCCCCACCACGAGAGUCUAGAUAUGAACACUCUAGAUAUGACAGGAGGUGGGGGCGUACCGGCAGGAGCUAACCAAAACUCUCCAGUUUCCAUUCGCAGGGACACCAGGCUUGCAAAGAAAGCGACGAUCUGCCUGAAGGAGACUACCCUGCUGCUGAACUGGGGGACUUCAUCCUGAUAAAGGCCUAGGAACAAAAGAAGGUGGGACCAAGAUGGAAAGGACCAUUACAGGUGCUGCUAACCACUCCCAUGGCUGUGAAAGUACAAGGCCGUCCCUGGUGGAUACACAGAACCAACUGCAAAGAGUCAGAGUGGAAGUAGACAACAACUAAGGACAACGAUGUUUUCCAUACUUGUGACUUUGGGAGAAGGAACCUUGAGAAUAGAUGGAUCUCAAAUUGACUGCCUGCAGCAAUAUUCCUUUUUGCACCUAGCCUAACAGACUGCCCGCUAACAGGGAGAGACACCUGCUGCUGGGUAUGUGCCCCCCAAUUGGUGGAGGAAUCCCUUUGUGGCCCUUACCUUUUUGAUGGCACAAACUGGCCGAAUCACUACUGUGUCGAAGCUCCUCUGAUGACCUUGCUAACACCAAUAACGCACAAGAGUCAGCAGGGUAUAACCUGACAUCAUUCAGGGGCUGGUAUCACCCUAAUUACAACCAAUCCCAUAGACACCCCCCCCCCCCUCCUUGUAGUUCUCAACAACGCCAUGGCCUAAACCAUUUGUUUCAGGUGGGAGGCGAAACUCACCAAAGGCACUUAUGUGGGAAUGAGUGAAUGCUCCUCUACCAUCCCCUGGGCCAAACCUAUUCGAACUUAAUAGAACAGAACCUCAUGCCACCUCUGGAAUAAUCCUGCUCCCAGGCUGGGUGGGGGCACUGGUUUAUAACGGUACAUAUUUCAUUAGCAGGUUGAAAGAUUGGGAGGGAUCGUGCUACCUGGGGUAUGUUGUACCUCGCAUUUGAGUUUUGGGCAACCUGCCCUCAUUUGAGUUCCAGAAGGUCCCUCGCCAAGUUCUUCACCUGAGUAGGUAUGAUCAAAAGGAGGGUGUUCUGUCUGCAUUGUAUCUUAGAAAUAGAACCUAAUGGAGCCACACAUGUGGAUUCCCCUGUAACCCCAGAUGGAGGAAUUUGCCCUUUCCAGACAAGACUGAUAGUCCUGGCCACAACCCUGUUAAAAUGCCUCCUGCUCCCAUUGUCUUUCUUCCCCUCCAUAUUAGCAUAGGUAUGUGAAUCUCCCAUUUACUAAAAGAAGAACCCUUCUGCCUUAAUCUCUUCCCAUCAACACAUAAUCAUAAACAAUACGAUAUUCUGUAAUCAAUUUACAUGUUAUCGCAGGACAUUGACAUUCAUCAAGCUUUGCAAAUUCAUAAUUAUCUACUUUAAACUAUGUAAUGACAAGCGCCCAUGUGACUGAUAUGCUUUAGUCUAAUUCCUAUAAAAUAUACUGUCUCUGUGUUUAAGGUAGAGAUUUGCGAAGAAGAGUCACUACAAGUAGACACUUGGCUACUUUAGGGACUCUUUGAAUCUCUCACCGGCUGUGCGAUAAUAAAGUUACUGCUUUUGUACAGAAA